AAUGAACGCUGGCGGCGUGCCUAAGACAUGCAAGUCGCACGAGAAAGUAGCAAUACGAGUAGAGUGGCGCACGGGUGAGUAAUACCUGGGCAACGCGCCUCUUCGCUGGGGAUAACCAGGCGAAAGCUUGGCUAAUACCGAAUAGUCCAUCAAUUUCUUCGGAUUUUGCUGGUAAAGCCGUAAGGCGCGAAGAGAGUGGCCCAAGUCCCAUUAGCUAGUUGGUAAGGUAACGGCUUACCAAGGCGACGAUGGGUAGCUGGUCUGAGAGGACGAUCAGCCACACUGGAACUGGAACACGGUCCAGACUCCUACGGGAGGCAGCAGUUAGGAAUUUUGCGCAAUGGGGGGAAACCCCGACGCAGCAACGCCGCGUGGAGGAUGAAGGCUUUCGGUUGU
RNAcentral lists this ribosomal RNA (396 nucleotides) under uncultured bacterium. RNAcentral's name for it is "bacterial SSU rRNA". It matches the Rfam family "Bacterial small subunit ribosomal RNA", at positions 29 to 426 of the family's 1533-position model. The record is from RNAcentral.